UACGGGGGGAGCAAGCGUUGUUCGGAUUUACUGGGCGUAAAGGGCGCGUAGGCGGCCAGCGCAAGUCAGUUGUGAAAUCUCCGGGCUUAACUCGGAACGGUCAAGUGAUACUGUCGCGCUAGAGUGCGGAAGGGGCAAUCAGAAUUCUUGGUGUAGCGGUGAAAUGCGUAGAUAUCAAGAGGAAUACCUGAGGUGAAGACGGGUUGCUGGGCCGACACUGACGCUGAGGCGCGAAAGCUAGGGGAGCGAACGGG
RNAcentral lists this ribosomal RNA (254 nucleotides) under uncultured bacterium. RNAcentral's name for it is "partial 16S ribosomal RNA". It matches the Rfam family "Bacterial small subunit ribosomal RNA", at positions 524 to 776 of the family's 1533-position model. The record is from RNAcentral.